Molecule: ribosomal RNA, 446 nt
Filed under: uncultured bacterium
Lineage: Bacteria
Description: SSU rRNA
Rfam family: Bacterial small subunit ribosomal RNA
Source: RNAcentral
AGAACGAACGCUGGCGGCAUGCCUAACACAUGCAAGUCGAACGAGACCUUCGGGUCUAGUGGCGCACGGGUGCGUAACGCGUGGGAAUCUGCCCUUGGGUUCGGAAUAACAGUUAGAAAUGACUGCUAAUACCGGAUGAUGUCUUCGGACCAAAGAUUUAUCGCCCAAGGAUGAGCCCGCGUAAGAUUAGGUAGUUGGUGGGGUAAAGGCCUACCAAGCCGACGAUCUUUAGCUGGUCUGAGAGGAUGAUCAGCCACACUGGGACUGAGACACGGCCCAGACUCCUACGGGAGGCAGCAGUGGGGAAUAUUGGACAAUGGGCGAAAGCCUGAUCCAGCAAUGCCGCGUGAGUGAUGAAGGCCUUAGGGUCGUAAAGCUCUUUUACCCGGGAUGAUAAUGACAGUACCGGGAGAAUAAGCCCCGGCUAACUCCGUGCCAGCAGCCGC